RNAcentral lists this ribosomal RNA (301 nucleotides) under uncultured bacterium. Its description in RNAcentral is "partial 16S ribosomal RNA". It matches the Rfam family "Bacterial small subunit ribosomal RNA", at positions 509 to 807 of the family's 1533-position model. The record is from RNAcentral.
CAGUCGCCGCGGGAAUACGAAGGGGGCUAGCGUUGCUCGGAAUGACUGGGCGUAAAGGGCGCGUAGGCGGCUGUUACAGUCAGACGUGAAAUUCCUGGGCUCAACCUGGGGGCUGCGUUUGAUACGUGAUGGCUUGAGUUCGGAAGAGGGUCGUGGAAUUCCCGGUGUAGCGGUGAAAUGCGUAGAUAUCGGAAGGAACACCUGUGGCGAAAGCGGCUCACUGGACCAUUACUGACGCUGAGGCGCGAAAGCUAGGGGAGCAAACAGGAUUAGAUACCCCCGUAGUCCCUGUCUCUUAUAC